GUGGCCACGGAGUUUGUCUGGUGGUGGAAGGAGGGGGUGGCUGCGCCCGCCAUGCUGGGGCUCGUGUUUUUCUCUUCCGCUUCAGGCUUUGGUGAAAUGGGCUGAGGAAGGGGGAAUUGAACUGAGAGACUCCUUGUCCGUCCCCCAUUUCUUUCUUUUUUUUUUUUUUUUGAGAUGGAGUCUCGCUCUGUCGCCCAGGCUGGAGUGCAGUGGGACAAUUUUAGCUCACUGCAACCUCCGCCUCCCGGGUUCAAGCAAUUCUCCUGCCUCAGCCUCCCGAGUAGCUGGGAUUACAUGCGCCCGCCACCACACCUGGCUAAUUUUUGUAUUUUUAGUAGAGACGGGGUUUCACCACGUUGGCCAGGCCGGUACCGAACUCCCAACCUCAGGCGAUCCACCCGCCUCGGCCUCCCAAAGUGCUGGGAUUACAGGCGUGAGACACAGCGCCUGGCCUGUCCUUUUUAUGUAUUGCCAUAUUUUCUUUUCUUUUCUUUUCUGUGAGAUCCCUGUUGAGUUUUGUUAACAAGGCUAUGCUGAUAUAAUGUGUGGAGAAGUGUUCUCUCUUUUUCUAUUCUUUGAAAGUGCUAGUGUAGGAUUGAUGUUAUUUAUUUUUUAUGUGUUUGGAAGAAGUCACCAGCCAUCUGGAC
This 647-nucleotide long non-coding RNA is filed under the name Homo sapiens (human). RNAcentral describes it as "non-protein coding lnc-TEAD2-1:2". Lineage: Eukaryota; Metazoa; Chordata; Mammalia; Primates; Hominidae. The record is from RNAcentral.